This 407-nucleotide long non-coding RNA is filed under the name Homarus americanus (American lobster). RNAcentral's name for it is "uncharacterized LOC121853218, transcript variant X4". The record is from RNAcentral. Lineage: Eukaryota; Metazoa; Arthropoda; Malacostraca; Decapoda; Nephropidae.
CACCAGCUGACAGCCCCGAAAAUAUCGGCCUGAGGCAUCGGCACUUUCUCUAUCACUGCCUAAAGUGGACCUGAACCUUUGGACCUGAUGUGAACUAGAAUGAAGUUGGCUGGACCUCAAGUACUCUGUGGUACUUUCUCCAUCACUGCCAUAAGUGGACCUGAUGUGAACUAGAAUGAAGUUGGCUGGACCUGCAGUGAAGUGGACCUGAAGCUAACUGGACCUCAAGUAGUCUGUGGAAGCUUCAAGGACCAACAACACAUCUCGGUACGACAAGUGGAGACUCGACCGUACAGACCCGUCCGGUCUCGCAUACGACGCCGUUAACGGCAAACGGAGAAACGCCGCCGCCGACCCGCGGGAAGUACUUUCUCCAUCACUGCCUAAAGUGGACCUGAAAUUUUGGA